GGGGCUGUAGCUCAAUUGGGAGAGCGCUUCCAUGGCAUGGAAGAGGUAGUCGGUUCGAUCCCGAUCAGCUCCA
This 73-nucleotide transfer RNA is filed under the name Rhodoglobus sp. RNAcentral's name for it is "tRNA-Ala". It matches the Rfam family "tRNA". Rfam says of the family: Transfer RNA (tRNA) molecules are approximately 80 nucleotides in length. Their secondary structure includes four short double-helical elements and three loops (D, anti-codon, and T loops). Further hydrogen bonds mediate the characteristic L-shaped molecular structure. tRNAs have two regions of fundamental functional importance: the anti-codon, which is responsible for specific mRNA codon recognition, and the 3' end, to which the tRNAs corresponding amino acid is attached (by aminoacyl-tRNA synthetases). tRNAs cope with the degeneracy of the genetic code in two manners: having more than one tRNA (with a specific anti-codon) for a particular amino acid; and 'wobble' base-pairing, i.e. permitting non-standard base-pairing at the 3rd anti-codon position. RNAcentral also lists the same sequence under 2 other names. The record is from RNAcentral. Lineage: Bacteria; Bacillati; Actinomycetota; Actinomycetes; Micrococcales; Microbacteriaceae.